Molecule: long non-coding RNA, 4024 nt
Organism: Anopheles stephensi (Asian malaria mosquito)
Lineage: Eukaryota; Metazoa; Arthropoda; Insecta; Diptera; Culicidae
Exons: 2
Source: RefSeq, a predicted model, not a curated record
CUGCCAAACCGCGCAUGUAAGGUCGCCAUAGCCUCCUUCAACCCGCUGGGGAAUGACAGGAGGUGUCCUACUGCCUCGAGCGCCGCACCUCUCAACGCCUGUUGCAGCCGCCUGGGAGCCCUACAAAGUUUCCAACGGACGCGGAAGCCGGACGGGGACAGUGGGAAGUGCGAAGAGCUCGUUUUCCACUGUCACAGACGGGUACAAAAAUGCGUGUACGGAAUGGAGGGAAGCAUGCAAUUGGUAAUACAGAAAGGAAACGCUUGGAAAUUUUUUUAUAACAUCACUGAUGCCAAAGAGAUGAUGUGAGUUAAAGAGCAAGCAUAAGAAUAAAGCAUGUCAAGCGGUGAGGUAUGUGGUGAGACAGAGGAAUGUGUGGAAACAUUCCCUCGCUAUGAGGAUAGACCAAAAUCGCGGACAGCCUCGAGAAAGUUUUCCGCAAAUGUAAAAAUAGAAGAUCCAGGAAAAAUAACAGAACUUUCACAAAGUUUUUACGUCGUAAAGGGAAACCAACAAUCACUAGUAGGUAAAGAUAAAAGAAGUAAGAGUUGAAAUACCCAUAGACAGACCGGGUGUCUAUAGGCGAACGGGUGUCUCCUUUAGUUCCAAUCAUUACGAACAAUGGUGAUUUGCGCCUAUGUGUAGAUAUGCGUAGAGCAAAGAAGGCCAUCAUGAGUGAGCAACACUUCACCACGGCUAAAAUAUUCUCUCGUUUGGACUUUAAGGAAGCCCAAACCUCCUUAAUUCUCUAUACCUUUUCCAUCAGGUAUAACUGCACGAGAAUAGCAAAAAUAUAAAAGAUAUAAAAAGAUGUAAAAGAUUGUUAUUUGGAAUUGUAGCUACGCCGGGAAAUUUCCAGUGUAUUAUGGAACACAAUUUGGCCAAAUUUAAUAGAAACGUUGUGAAUUGUAUUGACGACAUAAUAAACCACCAUACACCAUACGACAUGACAGAGUGUUAGAUGAUGUUUCGAGAGUACUAAAAGGCAAAGGCCUUCUAUUGAAUGAAGAAUGUUGAAAUGUUAGGGCAUAAAAUUUGAAGCCAAGGCAUUGAACCGGCCCAAGGAAAGAUAAAAGCGAUCAAGAAAGCGAAAAAAACCUGACUUACUAACUAUGAGCAAGCAAUAUGGCCAGGCCGUCCCUCAAGAAACAAAACUUACCAUGUGCGAUCCAAUCCUGCUCUAUUGUCCUAAGGUUUGAUCGUCGAACAUUGGUUUGGAAACAGUGCACAUUUGGUUUUUGUUUCAGAGGGUUUUACUUAUGGUAUGAUGUUUAGCAGAUAUGCUACAACAUUCUGCUAAUAUUGUAAAAUGAGCUAGGACUAAAGCCUUUGUAAUUCCAAAAAUUGCAAGAUCUUACCGAUUUACAAAAAAACAAAAAGUUCAUCUCACAAGAACCAAAGUGUUGCUCCGCUUGGUCGAAAGUGGUGAAUUGCCGAAAGUGGUGUAUGGAAAAGAGUUAUCCAGCAGAAAAAGCCAGCCAUGGUGAUGGUGUGGUCUGCCGUAACCGCCGGCAGCCGAUCGCUCAUCGCUCGUAUUAAUCGACAAUGGGGUUAAAACAAAUGCGCAACUCUACCGUGAAAAUAUUUUGGAGGGAGCUCUGAAGUCCUGGGUGCGCAAACAUUUUGGCCGCAGACCUUGGACAUGGUAGAAUAUAAUGGUUACGAAAUGAGAUCCCUCGCUUCAUUUCUACCGUACAAGGGCCACCAAAAUCACAAGAUGCCAUCCCGUUGAACUAUUGUGCCUGGGGGGGGUAUUCGGGAAAGUAAGAUUGGCACUAAAAAAUACCAAAGUCUCGAUCAGCUCAAGCAAGUGCUUCGCCGAGAAUGGGCCAGGCCCUUUCGAGUAUAAAGGUUUCCUCAGGCUGUAGUCUUUCCUAUGAACUUGGUUAGCUUCAUCUACUCAGUAGAGCAUUAACCUGAUAUCAUGGAAACUGAUGUAUAUGUCAUCAGCGUCUUGACGUUGACUGACGAUUGAUGUAUACAACAAGGUCCUCAUUUUGAAAGCGUCUUAUAUUGGUUGUGUUGCAAUCGCAACAGGUAAAAAUCCUCAGGGAUUAAAUUGAAAUUGAGGGUAAAUUGAUUCAAAUCCAAUUCCUUUUCUAAAUCGGUGAACCAGUUUAUUUUAUUUGUUUUUUUUUUUUUUUGUAGAUUUUGGUUACACACAGCGAAUAAAACCUAAGCGUCAUGAGUGUUAGACUUCCACGGCCGGUAAUAUCCUAAUAUUUAAAACAUGCCUGAAGAGUAAAGCGAUAUUUAUUGAUAAUCCGUCAUCGAUCCAAUUCGUCUGUAGUCAUAGGUUGCAAAUUAUAUACAUUUUUUCUUGAUUUCAUGUACAUAUCUCAAUUUCCAAUACAUGUAUAUUUUAUUGCGUUGUGAAAUUAUUCAUCGAUCUUACUAAUUCUUGCUUUAUUCGCAUAAUUGGGGACUUAAAUCAUUAUCUUCACUUCUCGAUCACCUGACAAUACCAUGUAAGGUUUAUUCAAAUUUCUUGUAAGUAAAUUUAAGAAAAUAAGGUUGAUGUAAGCAAAGCUGCUCAUAUAACUAGUACGCUUGCUCGAAUUGUGCUGUAUGCUUUCAUCCACAUAAUAUCUCCAAAUUCAAAUAAAUAUUUAAAAUAAUCCAAAACCGUUUUGAAUUCGUCAAGUUUUUCCACAAGUCUUUCAACAGAUCCUAGCACAAAGUCUUCUUUUCUAAAUGUUGCUGAAUCAAUAAAAGUUGUUUCAAUCAUGUCUCUUGCAAUGUCAAAAUUGUUAUGAAUAAUUGCCGUCUCGUAAACACUAUUGCCAGCCACAUCGACACUCUGAAUUAGAUCUGAAUGCUCUAAUGACUCACAGAGCUCAAGUAACUUGAAUGCCCUAUUAUUAUGACUUGAUUCACUUGCUGCAAUGUAGUGGAAAAUAUUCCAUCCUUUGUUUUUGUUGAUCAUUGUGCGGUCAAAGUCGGCCUCGAUUAAACACUGCACCAUGAAGAAACAGCCAUUUUGUAUGGUCAUGUGUAAUAAAUUUCGACCAUGCUGGUCAAUGCUCUCCAGAUCGGUUGUUUGGUGCAGCAGAAAUUUGAAAGCAUUAAUAGAUUGAUCAUGUAUCAAUCGUUUACCCUUGGGCAUUAAACGCAUGACCGUGACAAUAGUUCUAUUAGUAAUGGGUUUUUGAAAUUUUUGGACGAUGUAAUUCAUCAUGGCCACAUUUCCCACAUGGACUGCUCUGGCCAGAAGACUUUCGAAAAGGUGAUCUUUCUCAAAAACAUUUUUGUCGCUGUACUCUGGCAACGGUAAUAGUACAGUUUUGGACUUUCGUACACAGCAACUCUUUGGAAACUUGUCAUUAGCUUCGUCGGAUGAUUUAGUUUUGAUGUUUUCGAAGACAUCGUCCACAACAAUCGUUGUAUCGCUAGCGCAUUCGAUGUUCAGAAGAAGGCACAACUGCUCGAGAAAAAUCUUAAAUGAUCUCAUACGACCUAACUCAAUGGCUGAUAGUAGAGCUGCACACAGACUGAGUUUGUUCUGUUUUGGUGGCGGAUGCAAAUCGAAUUUAUCGACAAGAAAACAUACAAUGUUGUACGCAUUUUUGGCGAGUGCGGCUUUGAUGAGCUGGUCUCCCAUGCUAGACAAAUAUUCCUCAGGCUUGUCUAGAUGUAGAAUAAACUGUUCAAAUAGUUCGUACGCUUUCUUCGCAAUACAAUACUGCAAUGCUGUUGACUGCUCCAAACGUUCGCGUUUAUCGUUUAUGUCAAUUUUCCUUUCCUUUAACAAAUGAUCCACUGUGUAUUCGGAUAAGUGUUUGCGAUCCUCAGCAGAUGCUAAUUGAUUGACAUAAUGAUAUGCUUGUAUCAACAGAUUGUCGUUAUCGUUUGAAAACAGUUGUGCGCAUAGUGUAGAUAUGUUGAUACUUGCUCCGAAAUCUAAAAGAGCUUUAAUGGCAUUUUUGUUCCACAUGACAAAAGCAUAGUCUAAUGCCCUCCAGUGGAAAAGAUCAUCUCUUGCAUCAAUCAGAUCGAUCUUAUUGAUCGAACUCAUCGUUUCCAG